RNAcentral lists this transfer RNA (72 nucleotides) under Mesocricetus auratus (golden hamster). It matches the Rfam family "tRNA". From Rfam's summary of the family: Transfer RNA (tRNA) molecules are approximately 80 nucleotides in length. Lineage: Eukaryota; Metazoa; Chordata; Mammalia; Rodentia; Cricetidae. The record is from Rfam by way of RNAcentral.
GGGGAGCUGGCUCAGUGGGUAAAGCACUUGCCUUGUGAGCAUGAUGACUGGAGUUGUAUCUUUUGCAUCCCA